RNAcentral lists this ribosomal RNA (492 nucleotides) under uncultured bacterium. RNAcentral's name for it is "bacterial SSU rRNA". It matches the Rfam family "Bacterial small subunit ribosomal RNA", at positions 27 to 507 of the family's 1533-position model. The record is from RNAcentral.
CGAGUGAACGCUAGGCGACUAGGCUUAAGCAUGCAAGUCGAGGGGUAACGAGAGGAAAGCUUGCUUCCUUGUCGACGACCGGCGCACGGGUGAGUAACGCGUAUCCAACCUGCCCCCAACUAAGGAAUAACCUUGCGAAAGUAAGACUAAUACCUUAUAAUUUCCUCAGAUGUCAUCUGACGAGGAAUAAAGAUUUAUCGGUUGUGGAUGGGGAUGCGUCUGAUUAGCUUGUUGGCGGGGUAACGGCCCACCAAGGCAACGAUCAGUAGGGGUUCUGAGAGGAAGGUCCCCCACAUUGGAACUGAAACACGGUCCAAACUCCUACGGGAGGCAGCAGUGAGGAAUAUUGGUCAAUGGGCGGAAGCCUGAACCAGCCAAGUAGCGUGCAGGAUGACGGCCCUAUGGGUUGUAAACUGCUUUUAUACAGGAAUAAAGUUAGCCACGUGUGGUUAUUUGUAGGUACUGUAUGAAUAAGGACCGGCUAAUUCCGUG